CCUACGGGAGGCAGCAGUGGGGAAUUUUGGACAAUGGGCGCAAGCCUGAUCCAGCCAUGCCGCGUGCGGGAAGAAGGCCUUCGGGUUGUAAACCGCUUUUGUCAGGGAAGAAAUCCCUUGAGCUAAUACCUCGGGGGGAUGACGGUACCUGAAGAAUAAGCACCGGCUAACUACGUGCCAGCAGCCGCGGUAAUACGUAGGGUGCAAGCGUUAAUCGGAAUUACUGGGCGUAAAGCGUGCGCAGGCGGUUAUGUAAGACAGGUGUGAAAUCCCCGGGCUUAACCUGGGAACUGCACUUGUGACUGCAUAGCUUGAGUGCGGCAGAGGGGGAUGGAAUUCCGCGUGUAGCAGUGAAAUGCGUAGAUAUGCGGAGGAACACCGAUGGCGAAGGCAAUCCCCUGGGCCUGCACUGACGCUCAUGCACGAAAGCGUGGGGAGCAAACAGGAUUAGAUACCCUGGUAGUCCACGCCCUAAACGAUGUCAACUGGUUGUUGGACGGCUUGCUGUUCAGUAACGUAGCUAACGCGUGAAGUUGACCGCCUGGGGAGUACGGCCGCAGGUUGAAACUCAAAGGAUUGACGG
Molecule: ribosomal RNA, 583 nt
Filed under: uncultured bacterium
Lineage: Bacteria
Description: bacterial SSU rRNA
Rfam family: Bacterial small subunit ribosomal RNA
Source: RNAcentral